RNAcentral lists this ribosomal RNA (425 nucleotides) under uncultured bacterium. RNAcentral describes it as "partial 16S ribosomal RNA". It matches the Rfam family "Bacterial small subunit ribosomal RNA", at positions 355 to 774 of the family's 1533-position model. The record is from RNAcentral. RNAcentral also lists the same sequence under 1 other name.
UCGGGAAUUUUGGGCAAUGGGCGAAAGCCUGACCCAGCAACGCCGCGUGAAGGAUGAAAUCCCUCGGGAUGUAAACUUCGCAAGAACAGGAAGAAUAAGUAAGGGUUAAUAUCUCUUACGAUGACGGUACUGUUUGUAAGCUCCGGCUAACUCCGUGCCAGCAGCCGCGGUAAUACGGGGGGAGCAAGCGUUGUUCGGAUUUACUGGGCGUAAAGGGCGCGUAGGCGGCCACCGCAAGUCGGUUGUGAAAUCUCUGGGCUUAACCCAGAAAGGUCAACCGAUACUGCGGGGCUAGAGUGCAGAAGGGGCAACUGGAAUUCUCGGUGUAGCGGUGAAAUGCGUAGAUAUCGAGAGGAACACCUGCGGCGAAGGCGGGUUGCUGGGCUGACACUGACGCUGAAGCGCGAAAGCUAGGGGAGCGAACG